Molecule: long non-coding RNA, 285 nt
Filed under: Brassica napus (rape)
Lineage: Eukaryota; Viridiplantae; Streptophyta; Magnoliopsida; Brassicales; Brassicaceae
Description: long non-coding RNA (BNAP_LNC021291)
Source: RNAcentral
ACAAGCCCAGCCGUGGUCGCAGUGGCUGUUGUGCGGCGGAGGCAAGGCCACACAUGGCGGCUAGAGGAGGCAAGGCGAGGCAGGCAUGGCCGCUUAUUUUUUUAGGGUUGAAUUUUUUUUAAUGAUUUGGUUUAGUUAUCUAAACCUAAUUUUAUUUUAAACCAAUUUCAUUUUGUAAACCGAGUUAUUUUUAUUUCGAUUUAUAGAGUAACCAAUUGAAACUGAGAUGUUACUACUACUGUAAUACUUUGUGAGGUUUAAUUAUGACAAAUUAAUAACAUAAUG